GUAUAUCUAGAAUUCUAAGCUUAAUUUCUGAUUUUGUAGAAAACUAGCUGUGAUGAGUUAAGAAUGACUCCCAUAGGCUCAUACAUUUGAAUGCUUAGUCAUCAGGGAAUGGCACUACUUAGAAAGACUAGGAGGUCUUGCUGGAGGAAGUACAUGACUGGGUGUGGGCUGUGAAGGUUCAGAAGCCCAAGCCAGGCCCAGCAGCUCACUCCCUGCUCCCUGAGGAUUCCAAGAUAGAACUCUCAGCUUCCGCUCCAGCACCAUGCCACCAUGCUGAUAAUGAAUGACGUCUCUGAAAUGAUCAGAGCUAUAUGGGCCAGAUAAACCAUCCCAACACUCAAUAUGCCUUUUCAUCAAGAAGUGACCCUGGGGCUAUGAAGGAACUGGAUUACCUCCCAUUUCCAGAUAAAUGGGGGAAGGAGGAUUUCUCUCCUGGCAACUUCAUGAGAAACCUCAUAUGCCAAAAGCAACACAUUGUUCUGAAAAAUGCUGAGACUGAUGCCGAAGCCCCUACUGUGUAUAACCACAGCAGCUUACAUUUUAAAUUUAUAAGAUGAAAAUUAAGAUGCAUACUUAUUGAGCUAUGUUGAUGACUUCAUGAAAUAAGUAUAUUUAAAGUAUUUAGACUAAGUAGCAAUAACCUGAAGAGUUUUAAAACCAUUAGUAUUUAUCAAAAUACCUAAAAUAUUAAAUUUAGGUAGACUAGACAUUUUAUUUGGGUUACAUGUA
This is a long non-coding RNA of Meriones unguiculatus (Mongolian gerbil), 729 nucleotides long. RefSeq lists it as uncharacterized. The transcript is spliced from 3 exons. Lineage: Eukaryota; Metazoa; Chordata; Mammalia; Rodentia; Muridae. The record is from RefSeq and is a predicted model, not a curated record.